RNA transcript from Platichthys flesus (European flounder), 2870 nucleotides. It is a transcript of the gene named cugbp, Elav-like family member 3a, with no coding region annotated. The record is from RefSeq and is a predicted model, not a curated record. Lineage: Eukaryota; Metazoa; Chordata; Actinopteri; Pleuronectiformes; Pleuronectidae. The transcript is spliced from 15 exons.
UCACACACACUCACACACGCUCACACACUCAGAGGGGAGAGGACCGACCAACCAGACCGACUAUUCCCCCCGGUCCACUGACGGAAGCCUAAAUAUCAAUUGAUCUCCACACUCAUCCAGCGGAGCCAGGCAGGGAGAACUGUUUAUUCUCCAGGUCUGAUUCAUUCUAGGGAGAGAAGCAAAGAUAAAAAAAAAAAACAUCCAGGAAUUCACGAGCAGCGAGGAGGAGAGAAAAAAACCCGAGCAGAUCUAGAAAAAGACGCUCAUGCCGAAUAAAGGAGCGUCGCUGGAUGUGAGGUGUGUUGUUUCAGGGGCGAACAGGCCGAACUUGUAGCGGGAUCUCACACACGCUCCCACCGACAAAUGAACUGAAUCACAGAGGUUUUAAUAAGUAAAGAAGAAAGACGUCCGCUGCUUCCAUCGAUUCUCUGCCACCGACAGCACCACAGACUUCUCAAUGAAGGAGCCUGACGCAAUCAAGCUCUUCAUUGGGCAGAUACCCCGAAACCUGGAGGAGAAGGACCUGAAGCCCAUCUUCGAGCAGUUUGGCAAGAUCUACGAGUUGACGGUGAUAAAGGACAAAUACACGGGGAUGCACAAAGGAUGUGCCUUCCUGACAUACUGUGCACGCGAGUCCGCCCUCAAAGCCCAGAAUGCACUGCACGAGCAGAAGACGCUACCAGGGAUGAACCGUCCGAUCCAAGUGAAGCCGGCGGACAGCGAGAGCAGAGGGGAAGACAGGAAGCUGUUUGUGGGCAUGCUGGGAAAGCAGCAGACGGACACCGACGUGAGGAAGAUGUUCGAGCCGUUCGGCAGCAUAGAGGAGUGCACGGUGCUCCGCGGGCCCGACGGCACCAGCAAAGGGUGCGCAUUUGUAAAGUUCCAGAACAACGCAGAGGCCCAGGCCGCCAUCAACGCUCUGCAUGGGAGUCGUACUUUACCUCACGAGACCAAAGGAGUUACGAUAUCCACGUUACCUCCACAGGGCGCCUCGUCCAGCCUGGUGGUUAAGUUCGCCGACUCGGAGAAGGAGCGAGGGCUCAGGCGGAUGCAGCAGGUGGCCUCUCAGCUGGGCGUCAUCAGUCCCAUGACCCUGCACCUCGGGGCAUACAACGCCUACACACAGGCGCUGAUGCAGCAGCAGGCCCUGGUGGCGCAGUCGGCCUACCUCUCUCCUGUGGCCACGGUGGCGGCGGUUCAGAUGCAGCAGCUCGCCGCCCUCAACCCCAGCAGCCUCAUUGCCACGCCGAUCGCAUCCAUCACCCCCUCCUCAGUGUGGGCAAACAUAUUUGCAGGUACCAGCACUCCCCCCUCCAUGGCAGGCACACCCGUGCCCGCUCUGCCUCCGCCAAUCGCAUUGAACAGCUACGCCUCCUUGCCAGCUCCCAACGGCCAAUCAGCAACCGAGGCCCUUUACACCAAUGGGGUUCACGCUUAUCAAGCUCAGAGUCCUGUCCUGGACCCUCUACAGCAGGCGUACACAGGCAUGCAGCACUACACAGCCACCUACCCUGCUGCCUACAGCCUGGUAGGACAGCCCUUCCCCCACCAGCCCCAACUGGUGGCCCAGCAGCCGCAGCAGCCACAGCAGCUGCAGCAACGGGAAGGACCCGAGGGCUGUAACAUCUUCAUCUACCACCUGCCUCAGGAGUUCACCGACUCCGAGAUACUGCAGAUGUUCCUGCCCUUUGGCAACGUCAUCUCUGCAAAGGUGUUUGUUGACCGAGCCACCAACCAGAGCAAAUGCUUCGGUUUUGUGAGUUUUGACAACCCGUCCAGUGCCCAGACUGCCAUCCAGGCCAUGAAUGGCUUCCAGAUCGGCAUGAAGAGACUGAAGGUGCAGCUGAAAAGGCCCAAGGAUGCCAACAGACCUUACUGAGCGAGUCUCAAGACCCGUCCGUACAUAUAUCGUGGAGAUAUACCGCUAAAACCUCCCCCCCGUCCUUCUCACUGCGUUUGAAAACCUAAGAGUUCAAUCAAGAAAAACCACUUGGGAUGUCCCAGCCUUUUUUGGUUGUUUGACCAACCGUAUAGCACAGGAGCAACACAAACAGCAGUAUCACACGUAUGCGCUUACAAAAAUACAGCAGUAAUAUCAGCAACGAUCUCCAGAAUCCACACUAUCAGAAGUGCUCCAGAUGUUCCUACUGUAUCAUUCCACAGCUGGAUUCAUUUAUAUUAUGUACAUACUCUAUUGUCGGCAACAAGAUCUACAUGUUAAGAAAAAGCAUAUCACUGAUGUUAUUCUACUGAACAGGGUUCUACUGUAUAGUGUGAUUUGUGGUCUAUGGCGUCAACAGAAGGCCAGUCUACAGUCAGAGGCUAAAGAAAAUACUAUUCUGUAUGAUUACCAUUGGUAAUAUUGUUAUGUAGAGUUAGUUUUAUUAUUUAUACGUAAAUUUUAAAAAAAAUCAUGGGGUAACGAUGCUGGAAGAUAAAUGGAUGUCCUCUCAGUGUACAUACCUUGGUUUUCAAAAUGGAGGUAAAAGGACUUAAAAUUGUCACGAGUUAAGAUUCUCUGCUGCCACAACUUUUCAAAAUUAACAAAGCGGAAGGAAGGGCUGAGAAUUUUUCUAUCUUGAUUUUUUACGUUUAAUUUAUUUGGUAAUCAAUUUGAUGAAAGGGGGGCGGGGGGGGGGGGGGGAGAUGUGAAAAUUUCUUUUUUAAUUUAAGAGGGAGGAAAAAAAAGAGGAUUCCUGUGGUCUACAAGACAAUGAACACACUUAUAGAGUUUUUAAUUACAUAAAUGUAACUAUGGAAGUAAAAAAAAACAAAAAACAAACAUAAUGUUUCUUUAUUUAUUCUCUACAAUCGCUGUUUUAAAACAUAUGUCUUUAAAAGAAAAUAAAGUACAAUUUAGAAAAAACAAC